Stegastes partitus (bicolor damselfish) is the source of this 2894-nucleotide long non-coding RNA. RefSeq lists it as uncharacterized. Lineage: Eukaryota; Metazoa; Chordata; Actinopteri; Pomacentridae. The transcript has 2 exons. The record is from RefSeq and is a predicted model, not a curated record.
AGUGAUGAGGAGCUCUGGUUGUGUGUUCAGCACAGAAACAACAACUCUUCUACUAAUAAACAACUUCUCAGACUGGAAAUAUAUUUAUUUUAAUGCUUGAUUAAAAAAUGCAGAUUUCAAGGUUGAACAAUUUCUUGUGCUAAAUUCAGGAGCAAACAGAAAUAUGUAGAAGUCCAGAGUCAGGUCCACCUGUUACAUGUUCUAAAACAAUCACAAGUCUCCUCUCCAAACAUAAGUGUUUAUUCUUGUGGCGUAUUAAACUAGUUUUAACAUGUUUUUAUCAUACUUCUUGUGCCACAUAUUAAUUCCUGUGUCACUGGGAAUGCGAGAACAAGACAACAGACUUUGGUCAUUCCAGUGAGUCACAGGUUCAGAGCUUUCUGCUGGUCUUGCCCUAUCCUUCUUGACAGCUUCACAAAAGCCUCUUUUCACAGCAAUGACAGAGAUUUUCCCUCAAUAUACCUUUUCUGGGAACAGCAGCUUUAAUCUUUUUUGGAUUUUAUUCUAAACACUUCUGGGAACACUGUGUGAAUCCAGAGGAAGCCCCUGAUGCAGGACCAUUUGUGAAUGAGCCUUUCAAUGUUCUUUCACACAGAAGACACACAUCUCCGGAGCAGUCGUGAGCCCCCUGACACGAAGACGGCUAAAGUUCAUCUCAUUAACUCCUGACAAGCCCGCGCCCGCUCUGUCUGGCACAGGAAGUGGACUGAUUAAGGACUCCUGAUGCAAUCGAAGCUACGGUCCCCUUUCAAGAAAAAAAAAAAACAAGAGGUACACAUUCAAAUCUGUCCACAAGCACACACACACACACACACAUGCACGCACACACAAAUGCACCCCUGAGUCCACGUUGACAAAUUCUUUAACAAGCUGUGGUUAAAGGGAAGCUGGUUUUACUCUGACUCACCCCCCUCCUUUCAAACAGUUUACUGGAAAUAAAGAGGGAGGAGGAGGGAGGGGGCACUUUCAGAGAAGUCACGUGACGGGGCUGGGCAAACCACAGCACAGAGAGGCUUUGAGUGCAGUAGGCCAGGGGGGAAGGCAGGCAUACGCCCAGCGCAGAUGGCCCUGAUUUGAGUUACAAGAGAUACGAUCCUGGGAGUUGGCAAUCAAGAAUUCACAGCCUGUUAACCCUUUCCGCGCCAGAUGAAAAAAAAAAAAAAAAAAACCACACGGCAGGAAAUAACUUCAUAAUCAAGUUACAAGCAAUCACGGACACCCAUCCACGCGGGAUCUUCUCCCCAUGUCAAUGCUGAGGAUUCCUCUCCACAGCGCUCUCAUACCGAGCACUAGAUUUAAGAGGGGAAAAAAAAAAAAGAUGUUCAUGACAUCAGCGUCUGGAGCCGUUAGAAAAGGCAUGACUUCAUUAUUCUUGAAUAGCUCUGUUGAAUGAAUGAGAAAAAAAAACCCAGAGUGCUUUGCUGCUGUGCAUCACGUGCACUUGUGGCAGGAAGUUGGCACGUGCAGGCUGGGAGAAAUACCACUGGGUUUAAGUCAAAGUGCUGGCACCUACAAACCUCUGUGACUUUAGCGCAGGGGGACAAAGUCAGCAUCUGAAUCCAGCUCUGUUGCCACAGGGUGGACAGAAUGUGAGUGUGUGGUGAAGGGGGGGAAGAGUCUGGGUACGUAUGUGGAGCGGUGUGAGGUUCACGGGGGGUCACGUCCUGGACGACAACCACUUCUGUCUAACACACAGCGAUCCAACCAUAACAGUGUCUCCGUUCCAGUCCCAGUGGCGUCUCCUAUCACUUUGUCCUACUGCUACAGGUUUUCAUCCUUCAGUUGAAAAAACUCACAGCGGACGAAUACCUCCGUCCACCUGAAAAGAGUAAAAGGUAGACGAGAGAAAUCAGAUGUGUUGCGGGAUCUCCUUGAGCGAACGAGGGAAUCCCGAGAGCAUCCGAGCAACAGUAAAAGCCCUGGCGAGGGAAGAAAAAAUGUUUCCGUAUGUGGCAGGUCCCUGCUGGUGCAAGCAACCUGCCUCCAGAUGCUGUCCAAUCACACGCUACAUACAUCUAGACACAGCCGCUGCAUGUCAUGAGACAGCAAGAGAGAGGGAGAGAGAGAGAUGUAGUCUGAGACAGGGUUCGUGAGAAAGAAUAAGCAUAGGCGCAGAAAAGAUGUGAGAGAGAGAGAGGGAGAGGGAGAGAGAGAGAGAGAGAGAGAGAGAGAGAGAGCGAGAGAGCAAGGCUGUGCACUAAGACAGUAUCAUGCAGCGUCACUUCUAAUCUGCCCUUCCACGGAUGCGAACCAAGCAGGCGAUGCUCCUCCUGCGUCACACUGUUGGUUUGUUGGGGAAGGACAUGCAGGAGCUCCUCGGUGCCCAGACGGUCACGUAGACAGAAUCCGGUCUUUCCGACGCCAACCGUUUUGUGUCGCUCUUCCGCUGUCUCUGCUCUUCUUUUGUAGGAAUGGCCACUUUAUCAGUGAGUGAUGUCAGAGCUGCUCCCACAUGUGGUCUCCACUCCGGGGCUGAUGCUGGUGCCAGCCCACCCAGCUGACCACAGCGGUAGCUGCAGUGGACCUGAGGGCAGGUGCUGCACCUCUGCGUCUUGUCAACAAGCAGCCACAUAAGUUUGUGACUUCCUUUCAUUCGUUUCACGUUUAUUGUCUCAAACGAGCAUCUCAGUUUGUGCGCUGGGAGUCGGAGUACGCUAGCACUGCGCUCAUAAUGAAAGCAGCAGUUUCCUGCUCAGCAGUGCUAACUUUACUGAUACAGUAAAUCUACAGGAGCACAUUCAUCAAUUAUGAGUACUCAAGUGAUUCUGGUGCUUUCAUUAUUGACUCAAGGGCAACUGUAGAUAGUUGGAAAAAUCUUCUUAUUCCAUUUGAACAGCUGUAAAACACGAGGCAGGCACGAAGUAAAGCGCUAAAACGUAACUGCGACCACCUAU